CUACGUGCCAGCAGCCGCGGUAAUACGUAGGGUGCGAGCGUUAAUCGGAAUUACUGGGCGUAAAGAGUGCGCAGGCGGUUUUGCAAGACCGAUGUGAAAUCCCCGGGCUUAACCUGGGAACUGCAUUGGUGACUGCAAGGCUAGAGUGUGUCAGAGGGAGGUGGAAUUCCGCAUGUAGCAGUGAAAUGCGUAGAUAUGCGGAGGAACACCGAUGGCGAAGGCAGCCUCCUGGGAUAACACUGACGCUCAUGCACGAAAGCGUGGGGAGCAAACAGGAUUAGAUACCCUGGUAGUCCACGCCCUAAACGAUGUCUACUAGUUGUCGGGGAUUAAUUUCCUUGGUAACGCAGCUAACGCGUGAAGUAGACCGCCUGGGGAGUACGGCCGCAAGGUUAAAACUCAAAUGAAUUGACGGGGGCCCGCACAAGCGGUGGAGCAUGUGGUUUAAUUCGAUGCAACGCGAAGAACCUUACCUACUCUUGACAUCCAGAGAACAUUC
Molecule: ribosomal RNA, 499 nt
Filed under: uncultured bacterium
Lineage: Bacteria
Description: bacterial SSU rRNA
Rfam family: Bacterial small subunit ribosomal RNA
Source: RNAcentral